AGAGUUUGAUCCUGGCUCAGGAUGAACGCUAGCGGCAGGCUUAACACAUGCAAGUCGAGGGGUAUAAGUCUUCGGAUUUAGAGACCGGCGCACGGGUGCGUAACGCGUAUGCAAUCUACCUUUUACAGAGGGAUAGCCCAGAGAAAUUUGGAUUAAUACCUCAUAGUAUAUAGAGUUGGCAUCAACACUAUAUUAAAGUCACAACGGUAAAAGAUGAGCAUGCGUCCCAUUAGCUUGUUGGUAAGGUAACGGCUUACCAAGGCUACGAUGGGUAGGGGUCCUGAGAGGGAGAUCCCCCACACUGGUACUGAGACACGGACCAGACUCCUACGGGAGGCAGCAGUGAGGAAUAUUGGUCAAUGGACGCAAGUCUGAACCAGCCAUGCCGCGUGCAGGAUGACGGUCCUAUGGAUUGUAAACUGCUUUUGCACAGGAAGAAACAACUCUACGUGUAGAGUCUUGACGGUACUGUGAGAAUAAGGAUCGGCUAACUCCGUGCCAGCAGCCGCGGUAAUACGGAGGAUCCAAGCGUUAUCCGGAAUCAUUGGGUUUAAAGGGUCCGUAGGCGGUUUAGUAAGUCAGUGGUGGAAGCCCAUCGCUCAACGGUGGAACGGCCAUUGAUACUGCUAAACUUGAAUUAUUAGGAAGUAACUAGAAUAUGUAGUGUAGCGGUGAAAUGCUUAGAGAUUACAUGGAAUACCAAUUGCGAAGGCAGGUUACUACUAAUGGAUUGACGCUGAUGGACGAAAGCGUGGGUAGCGAACAGGAUUAGAUACCCUGGUAGUCCACGCCGUAAACGAUGGAUACUAGCUGUUGGAAGCAAUUUCAGUGGCUAAGCGAAAGUGAUAAGUAUCCCACCUGGGGAGUACGUUCGCAAGAAUGAAACUCAAAGGAAUUGACGGGGGCCCGCACAAGCGGUGGAGCAUGUGGUUUAAUUCGAUGAUACGCGAGGAACCUUACCAAGGCUUAAAUGUAGAUUGACCGGUUUGGAAACAGACUUUUCGCAAGACAAUUUACAAGGUGCUGCAUGGUUGUCGUCAGCUCGUGCCGUGAGGUGUCAGGUUAAGUCCUAUAACGAGCGCAACCCCUGUUGUUAGUUGCCAGCGAGUCAUGUCGGGAACUCUAACAAGACUGCCAGUGUAAACUGUGAGGAAGGUGGGGAUGACGUCAAAUCAUCACGGCCCUUACGCCUUGGGCUACACACGUGCUACAAUGGCCGGUACAGAGAGCAGCCACUGGGCGACCAGGAGCGAAUCUACAAAACCGGUCACAGUUCGGAUCGGAGUCUGCAACUCGACUCCGUGAAGCUGGAAUCGCUAGUAAUCGGAUAUCAGCCAUGAUCCGGUGAAUACGUUCCCGGGCCUUGUACACACCGCCCGUCAAGCCAUGGAAGCUGGGGGUGCCUGAAGUCGGUGACCGCAAGGAGCUGCCUAGGGUAAAACUGGUAACUAGGGCUAAGUCGUAACAAGGUA
RNAcentral lists this ribosomal RNA (1472 nucleotides) under metagenome. Its description in RNAcentral is "bacterial SSU rRNA". It matches the Rfam family "Bacterial small subunit ribosomal RNA". The record is from RNAcentral.